GGUUGAUCCCGCCGGAAGUUACUGCUAUCGGUGUUCGACUAAGCCAUGCUAGUUAAAUGUUCUUUGUGAACAUAGCGGACUGCUCAGUAACACGUGGACAAUCUGCCCUUGGGUUCAGCAUAACCCCGGGAAACUGGGGAUAAUUCUGAAUAGAUCACAUAUGCUGGAAUGCUUUGUGAUUUAAAGAUCCGUCGCCCAAGGAUGGGUCUGCGGCCUAUCAGGUUGUAGUGGGUCUAGAGUACCUACUAGCCGACGACGGGUACGGGUUGUGAGAGCAAGAGCCCGGAGAUGGAUUCUGAGACAUUAAUCCAGGCCCUACGGGGCGCAGCAGGCGCGAAACCUUUACACUGCGGGAAACCGCGAUAAGGGGACACCGAGUGCCAGCAUACAAUGCUGGCUGUCCACAUGUGUAAAUAGCAUGUGAUAGCAAGGGCCGGGCAAGACCGGUGCCAGCCGCCGCGGUAACACCGGCGGCCCGAGUGGUAAUCACUAUUAUUGGGUCUAAAGGGUCCGUAGCCGGUUUAAUCAGUCUUCCGGGAAAUCUGACAGCUCAACUGUUAGGCUUCCGGGGGAUACUGUUAGACUUGGGACCGGGAGAGGUAAGAGGUACUACAGGGGUAGGAGUGAAAUCUUGUAAUCCCUGUGGGACCACCAGUGGCGAAGGCGUCUUACCAGAACGGGUCCGACGGUGAGGGACGAAAGCUGGGGGCACGAACCGGAUUAGAUACCCGGGUAGUCCCAGCCGUAAACGAUGCUCGCUAGGUGUCUGGAAUGGUGCGACCGUUUCAGGUGCCGCAGGGAAGCCGUGAAGCGAGCCACCUGGGGAAGUACGGCCGCAAGGCUGAAACUUAAAGGAAUUGGCGGGGGAGCACUACAACGGGUGGAGCCUGCGGUUUAAUUGGAUUCAACGCCGG
Molecule: ribosomal RNA, 914 nt
Filed under: uncultured Methanohalophilus sp.
Lineage: Archaea; Methanobacteriati; Methanobacteriota; Methanomicrobia; Methanosarcinales; Methanosarcinaceae
Description: bacterial SSU rRNA
Rfam family: Archaeal small subunit ribosomal RNA
Source: RNAcentral